Long non-coding RNA from Cyprinus carpio (common carp), 247 nucleotides. RefSeq lists it as uncharacterized. The transcript is spliced from 3 exons. NCBI's taxonomy places the organism in Eukaryota, Metazoa, Chordata, Actinopteri, Cypriniformes, Cyprinidae. The record is from RefSeq and is a predicted model, not a curated record.
UUAUUUUUUUGAAAAUGUCAGAUAAAGAGGAGGAUCCUGAUGAUCAUAAAGAUAUUUAAAGAUGCAUCUGUCACCUGAACAUUCACAAGAUUCUCUGCUCAUACGGUGCAUCUGAUCCUCUGAGCUGGACGUCUGAAGCGAUGAUCACAAACAUGAUUGUGUUGCUGUGUUUGUCUGCGCUGUUUCCCGUCUUGAUGGGCGCUGAAGAGGUCAGAUGUUUUCGUACCACUGACUGCUCUGAUGUGUA